ACCAUGCUUUCCUUGGGGUCACACUACUGUGUAAUGAGUGCACAAUGAGGUCAGUACUGCAAAUGCCUAUAGAUCGCACUGCAUCAACUGGAACUUUGCUUUACCUUGGUACAAUUUUUGGAAAA
This is a small nuclear RNA of Saimiri boliviensis boliviensis (Bolivian squirrel monkey), 125 nucleotides long. NCBI's taxonomy places the organism in Eukaryota, Metazoa, Chordata, Mammalia, Primates, Cebidae. The record is from Ensembl.